This 956-nucleotide ribosomal RNA is filed under the name Neofusicoccum laricinum. Its description in RNAcentral is "SSU rRNA". It matches the Rfam family "Eukaryotic small subunit ribosomal RNA", at positions 53 to 1013 of the family's 1831-position model. Lineage: Eukaryota; Fungi; Ascomycota; Dothideomycetes; Botryosphaeriales; Botryosphaeriaceae. The record is from RNAcentral.
GAACGCGUCUGUUAGCAAUCUAUACUGUGAAACUGCGAAUGGCUCAUUAAAUCAGUUAUCGUUUAUUUGAUAGUACCUUACUACUUGGAUAACCGUGGUAAUUCUAGAGCUAAUACAUGCUAAAAACCCCGACUUCGGAAGGGGUGUAUUUAUUAGAUAAAAAACCAAUGCCCUUCGGGGCUCCUUGGUGAUUCAUGAUAACUUAACGAAUCGCAUGGCCUUGCGCCGGCGAUGGUUCAUUCAAAUUUCUGCCCUAUCAACUUUCGAUGGUAGGAUAGUGGCCUACCAUGGUAUCAACGGGUAACGGGGAAUUAGGGUUCUAUUCCGGAGAGGGAGCCUGAGAAACGGCUACCACAUCCAAGGAAGGCAGCAGGCGCGCAAAUUACCCAAUCCCGACACGGGGAGGUAGUGACAAUAAAUACUGAUACAGGGCUCUUUUGGGUCUUGUAAUUGGAAUGAGUACAAUUUAAAUACCUUAACGAGGAACAAUUGGAGGGCAAGUCUGGUGCCAGCAGCCGCGGUAAUUCCAGCUCCAAUAGCGUAUAUUAAAGUUGUUGCAGUUAAAAAGCUCGUAGUUGAACCUUGGGCCUGGCUGGCCGGUCCGCCUCACCGCGUGUACUGGUCCGGCCGGGCCUUUCCUUCUGGGGAUCCUCAUGCCCUUCACUGGGUGGUGCUGGGGAACCAGGACUUUUACUUUGAAAAAAUUAGAGUGUUCAAAGCAGGCCUUUGCUCGAAUACAUUAGCAUGGAAUAAAGAAAUAGGGACGUGCGGUCCUAUUUUUGUUGGUUUCUAGGACCGCCGUAAUGAUUAAUAGGGGAUAGUCGGGGGCAUCAGUAUUCAAUUGUCAGAGGUGAAAUUCUUGGAAUUUAUUGAAGACUAACUACUGCGAAAGAUUUUGCCAAGGAUGUUUUCAUUAAUCAGUGAACGAAAGUUAAGGGGAUCGAAGACGAUCAGAA